This 389-nucleotide unclassified non-coding RNA is filed under the name soil metagenome. Its description in RNAcentral is "partial contains 5.8S ribosomal RNA, internal transcribed spacer 2, and large subunit ribosomal RNA". The stretch from base 1 to 122 matches the Rfam family "5.8S ribosomal RNA", at positions 35 to 154 of the family's 154-position model. The record is from RNAcentral.
GAUGAAGAACGUAGCGAAAUGCGAUACUUGGUGUGAAUUGCAGAAUCCCGUGAACCAUCGAGUCUUUGAACGCAAGUUGCGCCCGAAGCCAUUAGGCCGAGGGCACGCCUGCCUGGGCGUCACACGUCGUUGCCCCCCCAUCUACUCCUUCGGGAUUGCGGGGGGCGGAUGAUGGCCUCCCGUGCGCCUCGUCGCGCGGUUGGCAUAAAUGCCAAGUCCUCGGCGACGCACGCCACGACAAUCGGUGGUUGCGAAACCUCGGUUGCCCGUCGUGUGCGGUCGUCGCGCAUCGAGGGCUCGAAAAAAUUGUCGGGCUCCGGCUCGGCUUUCAACGCGACCCCAGGUCAGGCGGGGUUACCCGCUGAAUUUAAGCAUAUCUAAGCGGAGGA